Molecule: ribosomal RNA, 526 nt
Filed under: Bifidobacterium breve
Lineage: Bacteria; Bacillati; Actinomycetota; Actinomycetes; Bifidobacteriales; Bifidobacteriaceae
Description: bacterial SSU rRNA
Rfam family: Bacterial small subunit ribosomal RNA
Source: RNAcentral
UGGUAAUGCCGGAUGCUCCAUCACACUGCAUGGUGUGUUGGGAAAGCCUUUGCGGCAUGGGAUGGGGUCGCGUCCUAUCAGCUUGAUGGCGGGGUAACGGCCCACCAUGGCUUCGACGGGUAGCCGGCCUGAGAGGGCGACCGGCCACAUUGGGACUGAGAUACGGCCCAGACUCCUACGGGAGGCAGCAGUGGGGAAUAUUGCACAAUGGGCGCAAGCCUGAUGCAGCGACGCCGCGUGAGGGAUGGAGGCCUUCGGGUUGUAAACCUCUUUUGUUAGGGAGCAAGGCAUUUUGUGUUGAGUGUACCUUUCGAAUAAGCACCGGCUAACUACGUGCCAGCAGCCGCGGUAAUACGUAGGGUGCAAGCGUUAUCCGGAAUUAUUGGGCGUAAAGGGCUCGUAGGCGGUUCGUCGCGUCCGGUGUGAAAGUCCAUCGCUUAACGGUGGAUCCGCGCCGGGUACGGGCGGGCUUGAGUGCGGUAGGGGAGACUGGAAUUCCCGGUGUAACGGUGGAAUGUGUAGAUAU